CAAUCAGAGUCAGGAAAUAAAAGGCACCUGUGAGCCUCUGCUCUUUCUCUGCCUGCCUCAUGCCCUGUCCCUGCUGUGGCUGCACCUUGUUGCACUUAGGGUCAAGGACUUCUCUCCUGCCAUCCCAUUUAUUACGUAGGCCUAGAGGUGGUCCUCCUGCCCCAUAUUGACUACUGCUGCUUUGCCUACUUGCCCUUUUAAUUUAUUCCCUUUUUUUUCCUUUCAUUUAUGGUUUUCUUUUGCCUUAUUUGUUUACUAAUUUGCCCUUUGUUAUGCCCAGGUGUUGUUUAUUUGCCCAUUUAGUUAACAGCUGGGAUACUUAUUUAUGUUGUGAGUUGUUUUCUGUAAGUUUUCCUUUAUUUCAGGUGUGGAGUGCCAUAUUGUUGAGGGGCUAGGCACUUGUGGUGAGGUCCCUACACUUUUUUGCGUGUGAGUAGUUGCACUGGGACACCAUAGACUGCACUGUUGUUUUGUGUGAGGUUUGCUGUGUUUGCUGUGUUCACUGGAGAAUAGCGGUAGCACUCCUAGGCACCCCUCCGUGUAGUCUGCCUCUCACAAGUGGCCUCCUCUCCUUUUUCUAUGUAGUUUCAGUUAAGUUGGGCGGUGUUUUACCUUUUGUACUUGUCUUUUUUAGAAUUUAUAUUCAGGCCUUUUUAGUAUUCAUUGUAAUAAAGUAAUUUUUCAAUUGUGUAUAGUUGUGCUGUUUUUACUAUUUCUUCUUUUCUGCAGCUCCAGCCCCUGCCUUUUGGUUUUGAUUAUUUUUGCUUAUUUUUAAUAAAAUUUAUGUUAAUUGUCAAUACUCGCCUCUGCCUCCUAAUUGGAAACGAACCUGUGUGUCCUUUUUGUAUUUCCUGGGGUGAAACUCCCCAGGUGGCGUUGUCUGGCUUUCCAUUUUCCUCAUAGUAAUAUUAACCUAUAACUUCAAUCUACCCUCCUACACUCUGCCACAAACAGAGUCCAGGAAGUCGGCACAGGUUGAGUUGAACUGGUAGAUUAAUUCUUCCGUGAGCGGAGGGAGGAUGGAGGGAUGUGAGGGAGCUGCAGGCAUCCCCUCACUAAACAGGUGCACAGUUCCAUUAUGCACACCCCAAACACAUAUAUAUGUAUAUAUCAGAUUAAGAUGUGGUAUUUAUGCAGUUGUUGUGAUUGUGAUUGUGAUUGUGGCAGUCUGCUAAAGACGGAUCCUAUUUAGUGGAUUGGUACACACACACAGUUGGGUUAUUUUCAGGUGUUUUCUUUUGUUAUGUUGUGAAUUUGGUCCUGAUCUCUCUCUCUCUCUGAGGUGGUGCCUGGGAUCAACAUCCUCAUGGAGGCGCGCCCAUGAGAGGGUUGCUGAUGAGGGUCUGGUGUGCGCAAUCAGCCUCAUUGGAGCAAGCCAAGUGAACUGAAGAGAGGGGGGAGGUUGGGAAGGAGUUAUUUUGUUGAUUU
Molecule: long non-coding RNA, 1428 nt
Organism: Myripristis murdjan (pinecone soldierfish)
Lineage: Eukaryota; Metazoa; Chordata; Actinopteri; Holocentriformes; Holocentridae
Exons: 3
Source: RefSeq, a predicted model, not a curated record